Long non-coding RNA from Homo sapiens (human), 734 nucleotides. RefSeq lists it as uncharacterized. NCBI's taxonomy places the organism in Eukaryota, Metazoa, Chordata, Mammalia, Primates, Hominidae. The transcript has 4 exons. The record is from RefSeq and is a predicted model, not a curated record.
UUUUCAUCACCCAUACAGUUAGUCUAUUAUUGUCCAGCCAACUAAAAGUGUCUUCUAGAAUAAGGUGAAAGAACAGAGAGGGCAAGGAAGAACUGAGAGCAUAUGGAGGAAGGAGAUUUAAAUUCACUUCCCCUAUUUCACCGGACAGUCAAUUGUGUAAAACAUAGGUCCCAGCAGUGAUGCAAUAGAAGGAGCAUAGGAAGACAGAAGUCAGCAAAUGACCAUCCAGUGCAGCAAGCAGCGUGCUCAGUAUCAACAGAGCCUUUCGCAGGGUGGACAUGGAGGAACCACUGGUUUGCACUGUCACCUAUUCUGCCAUCCCAGAUGACCACUUAGCACCUGAGCAGCUGGAUUCACCUUUCUCCCACUCCCUUAUUCAUUGAGCCCUGGGGGGGUUGUCUUCCAGGGAUUGCAUCAGGAGGCCACCUGACCUCUGACUUCCUGUUGGCUUCAGCUAAGAAGGAAGGAGGAACACUGAGAGGGGACAGGAGGAGGCAGGAGCAUGCUGUCAGGGUAUUGUGUUUUUCCAGUGCCUUCUCUGUGGGCUGCUGAGGGCCUGAAGCCCCUCCUCACAGCUCUCUCCCUCUCCAAAUCCUUAUGUGACCAGCCCCACCCCCUCACUCCCCCAGGCUCCCCGAGGUUGCCAGCCCCAAAGUAUUCACUGCUUUUUUGGCUCCCCCACACCUGUCCUUGCCUGUGUAAAUGUUCCCUUCAUUAAAUUCUCCUGAAAUGUC